UACGAGGGGUCCUAGCGUUGUUCGGAAUCAUUGGGCGUAAAGAGCUCGUAGGCGGUUUGUUGCGUCGGCUGUGAAAUCCCGAGGCUCAACCUCGGGUCUGCAGUCGAUACGAGCAAACUAGAGUGUUGCAGGGGAGACUGGAAUUCCUGGUGUAGCGGUGAAAUGCGCAGAUAUCAGGAGGAACACCGGUGGCGAAGGCGGGUCUCUGGGCAACAACUGACGUGGAGGAGCGAAAAGCCGUGGGGGAGCGAACAGG
RNAcentral lists this ribosomal RNA (256 nucleotides) under uncultured bacterium. RNAcentral describes it as "partial 16S ribosomal RNA". It matches the Rfam family "Bacterial small subunit ribosomal RNA", at positions 524 to 776 of the family's 1533-position model. The record is from RNAcentral.